GAUGAACGCUGCCUUCGUGCCUAAUACAUGCAAGUCGAGCGAACGGACGAGAAGCUUGCUUCUCUGAUGUUAGCGGCGGACGGGUGAGUAACACGUGGAUAACCUACCUAUAAGACUGGGAUAACUUCGGGAAACCGGAACUAAUACCGGAUAAUAUUUUGAACCGCAUGGUUCAAAAGUGAAAGACGGUCUUGCUGUCACUUAUAGAUGGAUCCGCGCUGCAUUAGCUAGUUGGUAAGGUAACGGCUUACCAAGGCAACGAUGCAUAGCCGACCUGAGAGGGUGAUCGGCCACACUGGAACUGAGACACGGUCCAGACUCCUACGGGAGGCAGCAGUAGGGAAUCUUCCGCAAUGGGCGAAAGCCUGACGGAGCAACGCCGCGUGAGUGAUGAAGGUCUUCGGAUCGUAAAACUCUGUUAUUAGGGAAGAACAUAUGUGUAAGUAACUGUGCACAUCUUGACGGUACCUAAUCAGAAAGCCACGGCUAACUACGUGCCAGCAGCCGCGGUAAUACGUAGGUGGCAAGCGUUAUCCGGAAUUAUUGGGCGUAAAGCGCGCGUAGGCGGUUUUUUAAGUCUGAUGUGAAAGCCCACGGCUCAACCGUGGAGGGUCAUUGGAAACUGGAAAACUCGAGUGCAGAAGAGGAAAGUGGAAUUCCAUGUGUAGCGGUGAAAUGCGCAGAGAUAUGGAGGAACACCAGUGGCGAAGGCGACUUUCUGGUCUGUAACUGACGCUGAUGUGCGAAAGCGUGGGGAUCAAACAGGAUUAGAUACCCUGGUAGUCCACGCCGUAAACGAUGAGUGCUAAGUGUUAGGGGGUUUCCGCCCCUUAGUGCUGCAGCUAACGCAUUAAGCACUCCGCCUGGGGAGUACGACCGCAAGGUUGAAACUCAAAGGAAUUGACGGGGACCCGCACAAGCGGUGGAGCAUGUGGUUUAAUUCGAAGCAACGCGAAGAACCUUACCAAAUCUUGACAUCCUUUGACAACUCUAGAGAUAGAGCUUUCCCCUUCGGGGGACAAAGUGACAGGUGGUGCAUGGUUGUCGUCAGCUCGUGUCGUGAGAUGUUGGGUUAGGUCCCGCAACGAGCGCAACCCUUAAGCUUAGUUGCCAUCAUUAAGUUGGGCACUCUAAGUUGACUGCCGGUGACAAACCGGAGGAAGGUGGGGAUGACGUCAAAUCAUCAUGCCCCUUAUGAUUUGGGCUACACACGUGCUACAAUGGACAAUACAAAGGGCAGCGAAACCGCGAGGUCAAGCAAAUCCCAUAAAGUUGUUCUCAGUUCGGAUUGUAGCCUGCAACUCGACUACAUGAAGCUGGAAUCGCUAGUAAUCGUAGAUCAGCAUGCUACGGUGAAUACGUUCCCGGGUCU
Molecule: ribosomal RNA, 1372 nt
Filed under: uncultured bacterium
Lineage: Bacteria
Description: bacterial SSU rRNA
Rfam family: Bacterial small subunit ribosomal RNA
Source: RNAcentral